RNAcentral lists this ribosomal RNA (276 nucleotides) under uncultured bacterium. RNAcentral's name for it is "partial 16S ribosomal RNA". It matches the Rfam family "Bacterial small subunit ribosomal RNA", at positions 524 to 794 of the family's 1533-position model. The record is from RNAcentral.
UACGGGGGUGGCAAGCGUUGUUCGGAAUUAAUUUGGGCGGUAAAGACGCGUGUAGGCGGUUUGUUAAGUCUGAUGUGAAAGCCCCUGGGCUCAACCCAGGAAGUGCAUUGGAUACUGGCAGACUUGAAUACGGGAGAGGGUAGUGGAAUUCCUGGUGUAGGAGUGAAAUCCGUAAGUAUCAGGAGGAACACCGGUGGCGAAGGCGGCUGCCUGGACCGAUAUUGACGCUGAGACGCGAAAGCGUGGGUAGCAAACAGGAUUAGAUACCCCGGUAGU